Molecule: unclassified non-coding RNA, 331 nt
Filed under: soil metagenome
Description: partial contains 5.8S ribosomal RNA, internal transcribed spacer 2, and large subunit ribosomal RNA
Rfam family: 5.8S ribosomal RNA (bases 1-120)
Source: RNAcentral
GAUGAAGAACGCAGCGAAAUGCGAUAAGUAAUGUGAAUUGCAGAAUUCAGUGAAUCAUCGAAUCUUUGAACGCACAUUGCGCCCCCUGGUAUUCCGGGGGGCAUGCCUGUUCGAGCGUCAUUUCACCACUCAAGCCUCGCUUGGUAUUGGGCAACGCGGUCCGCCGCGUGCCUCAAAUCGUCCGGCUGGGUCUUCUGUCCCCUAAGCGUUGUGGAAACUAUUCGCUAAAGGGUGUUCGGGAGGCUACGCCGUAAAACAACCCCAUUUCUGAGGUUGACCUCGGAUCAGGUAGGGAUACCCGCUGAACUUAAGCAUAUCAAUAAGCGGAGGA